CUACCAUAGCCCUCAACAUGGAUAGGUCUAUUUGGGUUAAGUGGAGCUUGUAGUGGUGGGAUUGGAUUUGGAUAGUGAGGUCUUUGGUCAAGUGGAGUUUGGAUGGGAGGGUUCGGGUUUGGUGAUGGUAUUUGGGUUCCAAGCCCUUCUUGUUGGACUUGGUGGAGUGGAGGAUGGCUUAGUCUAUCUUGUUCUCGGCUUUGGGAGUAAAGAUUGGUUUGAUUUAUGG
RNAcentral lists this long non-coding RNA (229 nucleotides) under Capsicum annuum. Its description in RNAcentral is "long non-coding RNA (CANN_LNC019071)". Lineage: Eukaryota; Viridiplantae; Streptophyta; Magnoliopsida; Solanales; Solanaceae. The record is from RNAcentral.